This 395-nucleotide long non-coding RNA is filed under the name Brachypodium distachyon (stiff brome). Its description in RNAcentral is "long non-coding RNA (BDIS_LNC001145)". Lineage: Eukaryota; Viridiplantae; Streptophyta; Magnoliopsida; Poales; Poaceae. The record is from RNAcentral.
UUGGUGCAGCUAGCAUCAUCAAACAUCUCUUGCAGUGACUCUUCGGGCUCUAGUGGUGCAUAUCGAAACUUAGCACAACCAGACAUAGCCUACAAGGAAACAAAAGUGUAAUUACAGUAGUCCGGUGCUGUUACAGUUCAGCAAGCAUGUACAACUUGUUACAGUUCAGCAAGCAUGUACGUGUUACUACUAUACAAGAAUAAUUGCAUAUGUUCAACUGAUCUGCGCUGCCAAUAAUCAUCGUCAGCCACAAUGUUAUUAGUGGCCGGAUCUCUUCCUAAACCAGUCGCGUUACGGUUCAAUGUCUUCCACAUGGCAUAACCACCAUUCAACAUUUCACCGCCUAUUUUUUUAAUUGCCUUUUGUUAUAUGAUUCUUCUUUAUGCGCUGAUCGA